Molecule: ribosomal RNA, 253 nt
Filed under: uncultured bacterium
Lineage: Bacteria
Description: partial 16S ribosomal RNA
Rfam family: Bacterial small subunit ribosomal RNA
Source: RNAcentral
UACGUAGGGGGCGAAUGUUACUCGGAAUUACUGGGCGUAAAGGGCCUGUAGGCGGUCAUACAAGUUAGCUGUUAAAGACCUAUGCUAAACGUAGGGAGAGCAGCUAAUACUGUAUAGCUAGAGUACAGCAAGGGAUGGUGGAAUUCCCGGUGUAGGGGUGAAAUCUGUAGAGAUCGGGAGGAAUACCGAUGGCGAAGGCGACCAUCUAGGCUGAUACUGACGCUGAGGCGCGAAAGCCAGGGGAGCAAACGGG